RNAcentral lists this long non-coding RNA (1847 nucleotides) under Monodelphis domestica (gray short-tailed opossum). Its description in RNAcentral is "lncRNA (ENSMODG00000042337.1)". Lineage: Eukaryota; Metazoa; Chordata; Mammalia; Didelphimorphia; Didelphidae. The record is from RNAcentral.
AUGUUGAAGGAAGUCCUCGUCCUCUGUGGCCUCGUGGCCCUGGCCCUGAUCCACCCAACGGAAGGCCAAGAAGUGUCUACAAACUCUAUGACGGAGAAUCCAACCAACCCAACUACAGACAGUCUGGUGGUGGAAACCAGCCCAGAGCCAACCCAGGAACUCUGCAAUGAAUCCAAUUGUGUGACAGGAGCCAAGAGCACCCAAGACCCUACUGAGAGGCCAAGAAGUCAACCCAGUGAGGAGCCACUCCUGGAAACCAGUCCUGAGCCCAGCCAAGAACCAAGUUCAGAACUUCUGACAACCACGGAGGAGUUCCCAACUGCCGAGUCCACUGAGAGCUACAGAACCACAGAGGAGAUCCCAACUGCUGAGUCCACUGAGAGCUACAGAACCACAGAGGAGAUCCCAACUGCCAAGUCCACUGAGAGCUACAGAACCACAGAGGAGACCCCAACUGCUGAGUCCACUGAGAGCUACAGAACCACAGAGGAGAUCCCAACUGCUGAGUCCACUGAGAACUACAGAACCACUGAGGAGAUCCCAACUGCUGAGCCCACUGAGAACUACAGAACCACAGAGAGGAUCCCAACUGCUGAGUCCACUGAGAGCUACAGAACCACAGAGGAGACCCCAACUGCUGAGUCCACUGAGAGCUACAGAACCACAGAGGAGAUCCCAACUGCUGAGUCCACUGAGAGCUACAGAACUACAGAGGUGACCCCAACUGCUGAGUCCACUGAGAACUACAGAACCACUGAGGAGAUCCCAACUGCUGAGCCCACUGAGAACUACAGAACCACAGAGAGGAUCCCAACUGCUGAGUCCACUGAGAGCUACAGAACCACAGAGGAGAUCCCAGCUGCUGAGUCCACUGAGAGCUACAGAACCACAGAGGAGAUCCCAGCUGCUGAGUCCACUGAGAGCUACAGAACCACUGAGGAGAUCCCAGCUGCUGAGUCCACUGAGAGCUACAGAACCACAGAGGAGAUCCCAGCUGCUGAGUCCACUGAGAGCUACAGAACCACUGAGGAGAUCCCAACUGCUGAGCCCACUGAGAACUAUAGAACCACAGAGAGGAUCCCAACUGCUGAGUCCACUGAGAGCUACAGAACCACAGAGGAGAUCCCAGCUGCUGAGUCCACUGAGAGCUACAGAACCACAGAGGAGAUCCCAACUGCUGAGCCCACUGAGAACUACAGAACCACAGAGAGGAUCCCAGCUGCUGAGUCCACUGAGAACUACAGAACCACAGAGAGGAUCCCAGCUGCUGAGUCCACUGAGAACUACAGAACCACAGAGAGGAUCCCAACUGCUGAGUCCACUGAGAGCUACAGAACCACAGAGGAGAUCCCAGCUGCUGAGUCCACUGAGAGCUACAGAACCACAGAGGAGAUCCCAACUGCUAAGCCCACUGAGAACUACAGAACCACAGAGAGGAUCCCAACUGCUGAGUCCACUGAGAGCUACAGAACCACAGAGGAGAUCCCAACUGCUGAGCCCACUGGGAGCUUGGAAACCACAGAGAGCCCCACUGCAGAGACCACUGAAAGCUCCACUACUGCCUAAGCAUCCAGCCCGUCCUCCGACAACAGCCUUCAGCCAGGGGGCUCCCCGGGAGCUGGGGACAAGGACAGCUGUGGAGCCAAAAGCCCGUUGGAGAAGCAGUCGGUGGGGAGAUGGCUGGCCCGAUUCGGCCCCUUCCCAGCUGCCUGGGCCAACAUCCUGGACCAGAGCCCGAUUGCCUCCGACCUCCAUUGCUCUGUCCCGGCCUCUCUUUGGGCGCUGAGCCGCCCUUUUGUCACAAAUGCCUGAAAACAAUAAACCAAGUCUGAGGACAGGAGUCCCCA